CGUUCGCUUUACCUAGAACAAUUAAGAAACUAGAAGUACUUUGUAGGAGUUGCGGAAUUGUCGCUAAGCAAUUGACUACGUUACUAUGUCGAUAGCAAGUAUCAUGUGGGAGAGGCCUCUGCUAGCAUGUCAUCCCUUACUUGGAAUUCUAUGCACUUAUGAUUGGAACUAUUAGCAAGCGUCUGCAACUACGAACGUUCAUUAAGGUAAAACCCAACCAUAGCAAUAAGAUAUAUUAGCCCCCCUUCAAUCCCAUAUGCAUCAAUUUCUAUGC
Molecule: long non-coding RNA, 274 nt
Filed under: Hordeum vulgare
Lineage: Eukaryota; Viridiplantae; Streptophyta; Magnoliopsida; Poales; Poaceae
Description: long non-coding RNA (HVUL_LNC016109)
Source: RNAcentral